This 407-nucleotide ribosomal RNA is filed under the name uncultured bacterium. RNAcentral describes it as "partial 16S ribosomal RNA". It matches the Rfam family "Bacterial small subunit ribosomal RNA", at positions 30 to 526 of the family's 1533-position model. The record is from RNAcentral.
AUUGAACGCUGGCGUCAGGCCUAACACAUGCAAGUCGAGCGGAGCGUCGGACGGGUGAGUAAUGCCUAGGAAUCUGCAUUGUAGUGUGGGAUAACUUCCGGAAACGGGAGCUAAUACCGCAUACUAUCAGAUGAGCCUAGGUCGGAUUAGCUAGUUGGUGGGGUAAAGGCCUACCAAGGCGACGAUCCGUAGCCUGUCUGAGAGGAUGAACGGCCACAUUGGGACUGAGACACGGCCCAGACUCCUACGGGAGGCAGCAGUGGGAAAUCUUGGGCAAUGGGCGAAAGCCUGAACCAGCAAUGCCGCGUGAGUGAAGAAGGUCUUCGGAUUGUAAAGCACUUUAAGUUGGGAGGCGUUACCAACAGAGUAAGCACCGGCUAACUUCGUGCCAGCAGCCGCGGUAAUAC